UCAAAAUGAGUCAGGGAAAUCGUUGC
This 26-nucleotide non-coding RNA is filed under the name Rattus norvegicus (Norway rat). Lineage: Eukaryota; Metazoa; Chordata; Mammalia; Rodentia; Muridae. The record is from RNAcentral.